UAAGCAUAUCAAUAAGCGCAGGAAAAGAAACCAACAGGGAUUGCCUCAGUAACGGCGAGUGAAGCGGCAACAGCUCAAAUUUGAAAUCUGGCCUCUCGGGGUCCGAGUUGUAAUUUGUAGAGGAUGUUUCGGGUACCGCCUCGGUUUAAAUUUCUUGGAACAGAAUGUCAAAGAGGGUGAGAAUCCCGUCUUGGACCGGCGGUAGGGCCUAUGUGAAACUCCUUCGACGAGUCGAGUUGUUUGGGAAUGCAGCUCAAAAUGGGUGGUAAAUUUCAUCUAAAGCUAAAUAUUGGCCAGAGACCGAUAGCGCACAAGUAGAGUGAUCGAAAGAUGAAAAGCACUUUGAAAAGAGAGUUAAACAGUAUGUGAAAUUGUUGAAAGGGAAGCGCUUGCAACCAGACUUGAGCGCGGCGGUUCCCCCUUGCUUCUGCUUGGGUUACUCCGCCGUGUCCAGGCCAACAUCGGUUCUGGGGGUCGGUCAAAGGCCUUGGGAAUGUAUCUACCUACGGGUAGACUUAUAGACCAGGGUGUCAUGCGACCUCCCGGGACCGAGGAACGCGCUUCGGCUCGGAUGUUGGCGUAAUGGUUGUCAGCGACCCGUCUUGAAACACGGACCAAGGAGUCUAACAUCUAUGCGAGUGUUUGGGUGUCAAACCCGGAACGCGAAAUGAAAGUGAACGGAGGUAGGAAGCUUCGGCUGCACUAUCGACCGAUCCUGAAGUUUACGGAUGGAUUUGAGUAAGAGCAUAGCUGUUGGGACCCGAAAGAUGGUGAACUAUGCCUGAAUAGGGUGAAGCCAGAGGAAACUCUGGUGGAGGCUCGCAGCGGUUCUGACGUGCAAAUCGAUCGUCAAAUUUGGGUAUAGGGGCGAAAGACUAAUCGAACCAUCUGGUAGCUGGUUCCUGCCGAA
Molecule: ribosomal RNA, 910 nt
Filed under: Cladophialophora brasiliensis
Lineage: Eukaryota; Fungi; Ascomycota; Eurotiomycetes; Chaetothyriales; Herpotrichiellaceae
Description: Fonsecaea brasiliensis LSU rRNA
Rfam family: Eukaryotic large subunit ribosomal RNA
Source: RNAcentral